This 649-nucleotide ribosomal RNA is filed under the name uncultured bacterium. RNAcentral's name for it is "bacterial SSU rRNA". The stretch from base 1 to 539 matches the Rfam family "Bacterial small subunit ribosomal RNA", at positions 338 to 873 of the family's 1533-position model. The record is from RNAcentral.
CCUACGGGAGGCAGCAGUAAGGAAUAUUGGUCAAUGGACGCAAGUCUGAACCAGCCAUGCCGCGUGCAGGAUGAAGGCCCUCUGGGUUGUAAACUGCUUUUAUAGGGGACGAAAAAGGGACUUUCUAGUUCAACUGACGGUACCCUAGGAAUAAGCACCGGCUAACUCCGUGCCAGCAGCCGCGGUAAUACGGAGGGUGCAAGCGUUAUCCGGAUUUACUGGGUUUAAAGGGUGCGUAGGUGGGUCGGUAAGUCAGCGGUGAAAUCUUCGAGCUUAACUCGGAAACUGCCAUUGAUACUAUCGAUCUUGAAUCAUCUGGAGGUAAGCGGAAUAUGUCAUGUAGCGGUGAAAUGCUUAGAUAUGACAUAGAACACCAAUUGCGAAGGCAGCUUACUACGGAUGUAUUGACACUGAGGCACGAAAGCGUGGGGAUCAAACAGGAUUAGAUACCCUGGUAGUCCACGACCUAACCGAUAGAUACUACGACAUACGUGAUAUACUAUAGUGUGUNUGNGCGAAGACGAUUAAGUUAUACCACCGUACGGUAAGGUAACGUAGUUCGCGAAGAGUUAGUAACGUUACGAAGGAAGUUAGUUACGGGCGUUGAGGACGUUGCCGACGGACGACCGACGAGGGGAGGUUAGGGAGG